GAUGAACGCUGGCGGCGUGCCUAAUACAUGCAAGUCGAGCGCGACUGCUUACACCGUUCUUCGGAACACCGUAAUCAUCGAGCGGCGGACGGGUGAGUAACACGUGGGCAACCUACCCUUAAGACUGGGAUAACCGCGGGAAACCGUGGCUAAUACCGGAUAAUACUUUUAUACAACGGUAUAGAAGUUGAAAGGUGGAUUUCUAUCACUUAAGGAUGGGCCUGCGGCGCAUUAGCUGGUUGGUAAGGUAACGGCUUACCAAGGCGACGAUGCGUAGCCGACCUGAGAGGGUGAUCGGCCACACUGGAACUGAGACACGGUCCAGACUCCUACGGGAGGCAGCAGUAGGGAAUCUUCCGCAAUGGGCGAAAGCCUGACGGAGCAACGCCGCGUGUGCGAAGAAGGUCUUCGGAUCGUAAAGCACUGUUGUUAAGGAAGAACGACAGUAAGAGUAACUGUUUACUGUGUGACGGUACUUAACCAGAAAGCCACGGCUAACUACGUG
This 505-nucleotide ribosomal RNA is filed under the name uncultured bacterium. RNAcentral describes it as "partial 16S ribosomal RNA". It matches the Rfam family "Bacterial small subunit ribosomal RNA", at positions 28 to 507 of the family's 1533-position model. The record is from RNAcentral.